CUCCUGGGUUCAUCAUUCUCCUGCCUCAGCCUCCUAAGUAGUUGGGACUACAAGUGCCCGCCACCACGCCCGGCUAAUUUUUUUGUAUUUUUAGGAGAGACGGGGUUUCACCGUGUUAGCCAGGAUGGUCUCUAUCUCUUGACCUCGUGAUCCGCCCACCUCCGCCUCCCAAAGCGCUGGGAUUACAGGCGUGAGCCACCGCGCCUGGCCCAGAAAAUCUUUCUAAGGCAUCAAUGAAAGUUUUCAAUGUUAAUGAAAAGAAACUUUGUCCAGGAGUUGCAGUGUCCUUUGAGUUUCAGAAAAUCCAAGAAAAAAAAAAGAGGGCACCAAAGGAUAGUUGUACAGGAGCAAGAGUAAAUCAGCCCCAGGGAGCACUGUCUCUGUGAGAUGCCAGCCUUGAGCUGAAGUAGAGAAGAGUUUCAAGUUGCUGAACACCCCCAUGCAGCAGUAAAAAGAUAUAAGAUAUCGACACGCUCAGCUGCAUCUUGUUAAAAGCUUCCUGCGGGUUGGCAGAAUGAAAUCUUUAUUUAAAACACAUAAACUAUUGUCAAGGGAAAGAUGGAAAAGAGAAUACAGUAAAAGGGCCAAAUGCUUUGCUUAACCCACCAGAAGCAGUAGAA
Gorilla gorilla gorilla (western lowland gorilla) is the source of this 620-nucleotide long non-coding RNA. RefSeq lists it as uncharacterized. The transcript has 3 exons. NCBI's taxonomy places the organism in Eukaryota, Metazoa, Chordata, Mammalia, Primates, Hominidae. The record is from RefSeq and is a predicted model, not a curated record.